Long non-coding RNA from Cyprinus carpio carpio, 1313 nucleotides. The record is from Ensembl. Lineage: Eukaryota; Metazoa; Chordata; Actinopteri; Cypriniformes; Cyprinidae.
AUGGAUAUGAUGGUGAAAUGGCUCCCUCCGGUUCAAAUAUUGAGCAGCAAGCCUUUGACGGUAUUAAUACAUCGGCCGCGAUUGAUCCAGACAUUGCAGCCGAUGGUACUUCACCAUGUUAAACAGCCAAUUAAACAAAUACGGAAAGGCCUUAAACAAACAGGAAUCUGGCCACUUCUUUUAGAUAGGCCAGAUGUCCACCCCUUAAUUUUCCCAAGGGAGUCAAGUGAGGAGCUUAACCCACAGGUAAACACGAUUCACACUACAUGAUUUUUAGCCUGAUUUGCUGCUCGGCGACUGUCAGGCUGUGAUCGGGAGUAAAUCAGUGAUCGAUCGGCGGUCACCAUUCGUUAUGUGUGAACUACUCAACUCAUCAAAACGGUGCCCCGACACAUCGCCGACACCAGCCAGAUAUCUAGCAUGAGAAAUGGCCGACUCGACAUCCAGCCAAUUUAGCCAUUUAUUAUUCAGCCAUUUAUGAUUUUAUUUUUGCAAAGACUGUGUGUAGUUUUGUUUGGUGUCACGGGGGGGUGUACAUCUAAAAUGAAUGGUUUAUUUUAGUCAUAUGUUAAAGUUGUUACUUAUGUGACAGAAAUAGAUUGUUCAUUCAUAAAAAGAUCACUCAAAUUUUGAAAUCACUUUGCAACAUUUAAUUAAAGUUUAAAUCCUGACAUAAAAUAUGCUUAUAUUUGAUCCCUUGUAGACCGUGAUCCAGAGCAUUACCUGGCCACAACCCAAUGUUGACAGCGACAAGGAUGAGGACGACACUGUUCCAUUGGAGAAAAUCAGUCUUGUCACUGGAUUUUUGAGAAAAUUCAUAGAGGAAGGUAAUACUGUAAAUGGUUUUUAUUUCCUUAUUUUUCAUUCUCAUCUUAAUUUACACAUAAUUGUUUCCUCAUAACAAUCCCAGUUGCUACAAUAAUAAAGUGGUUCUUCAUAUUUACCACGUUUUAUGUGCAUUUUGUGUUUCAUUUCAUCUCAGUGUGAGCUGGUUUACUGUUUUAUUGUCAAAUGGUUAUGUUUCUCUCCCUCCUCCUUUCUGUCCUCUGCUGUGUGCUUUACAACAGCACAGGGAAAGGAGAAGACAUAAAUGUGAAUGUUUGACAGAAACAGUAAAGCCCAGCUAACACUGAGAUGAAAUGAAACACAAAUGCACAUACAAUUGCUAAAUUAAACUUCAUACUUUGUUUACAUUCCACUGUAUUUAAAGCAGCAUUUAAAGUAAACCUUUUGACGUUCUAAACUAGGAGAGGAAAAGAGACUACAGGGAUUUUACUUUUGUAAAGUUUGUACUGUUUAAGUUCAGCACUGUG